This is a long non-coding RNA of Choloepus didactylus (southern two-toed sloth), 831 nucleotides long. RefSeq lists it as uncharacterized. The transcript is spliced from 3 exons. The record is from RefSeq and is a predicted model, not a curated record. Lineage: Eukaryota; Metazoa; Chordata; Mammalia; Pilosa; Megalonychidae.
UGAGUGGUCCCAGGAAGAUUACACGCAAAACACAAAAAACCAACAGAAACCUCUCGGUAAAAUAUGGCCAGGAAAAGAACUCGCCUUUCCACGGACCCCUAGCCCCAAGAGAAUUACAAGUCCCAGAGGGCCGUGCGGGGACGAGCCCCCGAAACAAGACGCCUGCGGCCCCGGGGGCUGCUGGGAGUUGUAGUCCGAACGGCGGUCGGCCACCUGCGGAGGCGGGUCUGCGAGCCCACUGGGUCUCACCUGGAAAUUGCCCACUAUGGAAGUGCCCAGGGCGCAGAGGAGCCCGGUCCACAGGAUCAGCUGGUUAGGCCGCCUUCCGACGCCCCAGUCGCGGAGCUGGUGGAUUCUCCUCAGGAACAGGCGGUGCAUUUAGUUGUCACGCCUCAUCCCUCGCUUCAGACUUUUACAGUUGCUGAUGCCGAUCCCGACCACCUUGUCAGGUUCCGUUGACUGCCAGCCUCCACUCUCCACUUGGAUUUCUCUUACUAUUACUGAAUUUCUUCUGCUUAUAAAGAACUCCAAUAAUCUGGAUUAAGAACCAUCCUGUUUCACUUGGCCACACCUUAACUGAAAUAAUAUCUUCAAAAGGUCCCCUCAACACCCUAUACCACCUUUUGUCUUUGGCCAUGGUGGUGGUGCCUCCACAGUGGGAAAGAAGAGAGGGAUGGGAAAAGAAUGGCCUGACUAUCUUUCAUUCUCCUUUAAUCUUCAAUCCCACCACCCCCUCUCUGACUUUCAAUCCAUAAACAUGGUAUAUCUCCCCAUUUACUUAGGUCUCCUUUAAAAGUUCUGUUAAUAAAGUUUUAUAGAUUUUCUUGAAAA